UGUUAAGGUACUCCAUUAAUUGUACUUGAUAC
This 32-nucleotide non-coding RNA is filed under the name Mus musculus (house mouse). Lineage: Eukaryota; Metazoa; Chordata; Mammalia; Rodentia; Muridae. The record is from RNAcentral.